Molecule: long non-coding RNA, 647 nt
Filed under: Homo sapiens (human)
Lineage: Eukaryota; Metazoa; Chordata; Mammalia; Primates; Hominidae
Description: HSALNT0360109
Source: RNAcentral
GUGGUCACUCCCCCAGCAUGGGGUGGCCUGCAGCAGGCCCACAGACCCAGAGAACACAGUCCCUUCUCGCACGGCCUGGUCUUCAGCUUCCCUUUUCAGAAUGGAAUGCACACGAUUUAUUAGGCUUCCUGAAACAGCACAUACACAGCUGGAAUGAUGGUGACUGUUAGCCGCUGCUGAGACAGAAGCACAUGUUGGCAGCGGCUUUCCUUGAAUUUUCCUUCUGCUCAGAUCAAGGAGUCAUCGGUUUCACCUGCCAUCUCCCAUGGUCUCUGAGGUUCUGAAGGCUACUACCUACUGAGUCACUCCUGCUCACAAUUAAAGAGGAGUCCUCAUGAGAGGUCACUCUGCUGGUAUCAGUGUGGUAUCAGCAGAGGGAGGCGCAGCAAAGGAACUCUGUUUAGCCCCGAUACAAUCAUUGCAUGCCCAGCUUGGUGGUUUUUCUUCUUCCCUGUCCUGUAAUCACUCAGAUCCCCAAAGCUCCAUUCUGAAUGCUUCCCUUGUCCCUAGAAUACACGUCAAGUCCUUCCACGGUGUUUACCCUCAGCCCUGAGAACUCUUCAGAAGAUGAGACCCGGUUAAAUGUUCCCAAUUCUAUCAUCUUUACAAAGCCUUUGGAGUUUUGCUGGAGGACGAGCAGGAGCCAG